UUCAACAAUGGAUCUCUUGGUUCCGGCAUCGAUGAAGAACGCAGCGAACUGCGAUAAGUAAUGUGAAUUGCAGAAUUCAGUGAAUCAUCGAGUCUUUGAACGCACAUUGCGCCCCCUGGCAUUCCGGGGGGCAUGCCUGUCCGAGCGUCAUUGCUGC
This 157-nucleotide ribosomal RNA is filed under the name Aspergillus tennesseensis. RNAcentral's name for it is "5.8S ribosomal RNA". It matches the Rfam family "5.8S ribosomal RNA". Rfam says of the family: 5.8S ribosomal RNA (5.8S rRNA) is a component of the large subunit of the eukaryotic ribosome. The record is from RNAcentral. Lineage: Eukaryota; Fungi; Ascomycota; Eurotiomycetes; Eurotiales; Aspergillaceae.